AAUGAACGCUGGCGGCAUGCCUUACACAUGCCAGUCGAACGGCAGCAUGACCUAGCUUGCUAGGUUGAUGGCGAGUGGCGAACGGGUGAGUAAUGCAUCGGAACGUGCCUUUUAGUGGGGGAUAACGUAGCGAAAGUUACGCUAAUACCGCAUAUUCUCUGAGGAGGAAAGCAGGGGACCUUCGGGCCUUGCGCUAGAAGAGCGGCCGAUGUCGGAUUAGCUAGUUGGUGAGGUAAAGGCUCACCAAGGCAACGAUCCGUAGCGGGUCUGAGGGGAUGAUCCGCCACACUGGGACUGAGACACGGCCCAGACUCCUACGGGAGGCAGCAGUGGGGAAUUUUGGACAAUGGGCGCAAGCCUGAUCCAGCCAUGCCGCGUGAGUGAAGAAGGCCUUCGGGUUGUAAAGCUCUUUCGGCUGGGAAGAAAUCGCACCCUCUAAUACAGGGUGUGGAUGACGGUACCAGCAUAAGAAGCACCGGCUAACUACGUG
This 490-nucleotide ribosomal RNA is filed under the name uncultured bacterium. RNAcentral describes it as "partial 16S ribosomal RNA". It matches the Rfam family "Bacterial small subunit ribosomal RNA", at positions 29 to 507 of the family's 1533-position model. The record is from RNAcentral.